AGAAGGUCCUGAAGGGCGACCUC
Molecule: non-coding RNA, 23 nt
Filed under: Arabidopsis thaliana (thale cress)
Lineage: Eukaryota; Viridiplantae; Streptophyta; Magnoliopsida; Brassicales; Brassicaceae
Source: RNAcentral